GAUUAAGUUAUUAAGGGCGCACGGUGGAUGCCUUGGCACUAGAAGCCGAUGAAGGACGUUACUAACGACGAUAUGCUUUGGGGAGCUGUAAGUAAGCUUUGAUCCAGAGAUUUCCGAAUGGGGAAACCCAGCAUGAGUUAUGUCAUGUUAUCGAUAUGUGAAUACAUAGCAUAUCAGAAGGCACACCCGGAGAACUGAAACAUCUUAGUACCCGGAGGAAGAGAAAGAAAAUUCGAUUCCCUUAGUAGCGGCGAGCGAAACGGGAAGAGCCCAAACCAACAAGCUUGCUUGUUGGGGUUGUAGGACACUCUAUACGGAGUUACAAAGGACGACAUUAGACGAAUCAUCUGGAAAGAUGAAUCAAAGAAGGUAAUAAUCCUGUAGUCGAAAAUGUUGUCUCUCUUGAGUGGAUCCUGAGUACGACGGAGCACGUGAAAUUCCGUCGGAAUCUGGGAGGACCAUCUCCUAAGGCUAAAUACUCUCUAGUGACCGAUAGUGAACCAGUACCGUGAGGGAAAGGUGAAAAGCACCCCGGAAGGGGAGUGAAAUAGAACCUGAAACCGUGUGCUUACAAGUAGUCAGAGCCCGUUAAUGGGUGAUGGCGUGCCUUUUGUAGAAUGAACCGGCGAGUUACGAUUUGAUGCAAGGUUAAGCAGUAAAUGUGGAGCCGUAGCGAAAUCGAGUCUGAAUAGGGCGUUUAGUAUUUGGUCGUAGACCCGAAACCAGGUGAUCUACCCUUGGUCAGGUUGAAGUUCAGGUAACACUGAAUGGAGGACCGAACCGACUUACGUUGAAAAGUGAGCGGAUGAACUGAGGGUAGCGGAGAAAUUCCAAUCGAACCUGGAGAUAGCUGGUUCUCUCCGAAAUAGCUUUAGGGCUAGCCUCAAGUGAUGAUUAUUGGAGGUAGAGCACUGUUUGGACGAGGGGCCCCUCUCGGGUUACCGAAUUCAGACAAACUCCGAAUGCCAAUUAAUUUAACUUGGGAGUCAGAACAUGGGUGAUAAGGUCCGUGUUCGAAAGGGAAACAGCCCAGACCACCAGCUAAGGUCCCAAAAUAUAUGUUAAGUGGAAAAGGAUGUGGCGUUGCCCAGACAACUAGGAUGUUGGCUUAGAAGCAGCCAUCAUUUAAAGAGUGCGUAAUAGCUCACUAGUCGAGUGACACUGCGCCGAAAAUGUACCGGGGCUAAACAUAUUACCGAAGCUGUGGAUUGUCCUUUGGACAAUGGUAGGAGAGCGUUCUAAGGGCGUUGAAGCAUGAUCGUAAGGACAUGUGGAGCGCUUAGAAGUGAGAAUGCCGGUGUGAGUAGCGAAAGACGGGUGAGAAUCCCGUCCACCGAUUGACUAAGGUUUCCAGAGGAAGGCUCGUCCGCUCUGGGUUAGUCGGGUCCUAAGCUGAGGCCGACAGGCGUAGGCGAUGGAUAACAGGUUGAUAUUCCUGUACCACCUAUAAUCGUUUUAAUCGAUGGGGGGACGCAGUAGGAUAGGCGAAGCGUGCGAUUGGAUUGCACGUCUAAGCAGUAAGGCUGAGUAUUAGGCAAAUCCGGUACUCGUUAAGGCUGAGCUGUGAUGGGGAGAAGACAUUGUGUCUUCGAGUCGUUGAUUUCACACUGCCGAGAAAAGCCUCUAGAUAGAAAAUAGGUGCCCGUACCGCAAACCGACACAGGUAGUCAAGAUGAGAAUUCUAAGGUGAGCGAGCGAACUCUCGUUAAGGAACUCGGCAAAAUGACCCCGUAACUUCGGGAGAAGGGGUGCUCUUUAGGGUUAACGCCCAGAAGAGCCGCAGUGAAUAGGCCCAAGCGACUGUUUAUCAAAAACACAGGUCUCUGCUAAACCGUAAGGUGAUGUAUAGGGGCUGACGCCUGCCCGGUGCUGGAAGGUUAAGAGGAGUGGUUAGCUUCUGCGAAGCUACGAAUCGAAGCCCCAGUAAACGGCGGCCGUAACUAUAACGGUCCUAAGGUAGCGAAAUUCCUUGUCGGGUAAGUUCCGACCCGCACGAAAGGCGUAACGAUUUGGGCACUGUCUCAACGAGAGACUCGGUGAAAUCAUAGUACCUGUGAAGAUGCAGGUUACCCGCGACAGGACGGAAAGACCCCGUGGAGCUUUACUGUAGCCUGAUAUUGAAAUUCGGCACAGCUUGUACAGGAUAGGUAGGAGCCUUUGAAACGUGAGCGCUAGCUUACGUGGAGGCGCUGGUGGGAUACUACCCUAGCUGUGUUGGCUUUCUAACCCGCACCACUUAUCGUGGUGGGAGACAGUGUCAGGCGGGCAGUUUGACUGGGGCGGUCGCCUCCUAAAAGGUAACGGAGGCGCUCAAAGGUUCCCUCAGAAUGGUUGGAAAUCAUUCAUAGAGUGUAAAGGCAUAAGGGAGCUUGACUGCGAGACCUACAAGUCGAGCAGGGUCGAAAGACGGACUUAGUGAUCCGGUGGUUCCGCAUGGAAGGGCCAUCGCUCAACGGAUAAAAGCUACCCCGGGGAUAACAGGCUUAUCUCCCCCAAGAGUUCACAUCGACGGGGAGGUUUGGCACCUCGAUGUCGGCUCAUCGCAUCCUGGGGCUGUAGUCGGUCCCAAGGGUUGGGCUGUUCGCCCAUUAAAGCGGUACGCGAGCUGGGUUCAGAACGUCGUGAGACAGUUCGGUCCCUAUCCGUCGUGGGCGUAGGAAAUUUGAGAGGAGCUGUCCUUAGUACGAGAGGACCGGGAUGGACAUACCUCUGGUGUACCAGUUGUCGUGCCAACGGCAUAGCUGGGUAGCUAUGUGUGGACGGGAUAAGUGCUGAAAGCAUCUAAGCAUGAAGCCCCCCUCAAGAUGAGAUUUCCCAACUUCGGUUAUAAGAUCCCUCAAAGAUGAUGAGGUUAAUAGGUUCGAGGUGGAAGCAUGGUGACAUGUGGAGCUGACGAAUACUAAUCGAUCGAAGACUUAAUCAA
RNAcentral lists this ribosomal RNA (2923 nucleotides) under Staphylococcus sp. MZ7. Its description in RNAcentral is "23S ribosomal RNA". It matches the Rfam family "Bacterial large subunit ribosomal RNA". The record is from RNAcentral. Lineage: Bacteria; Bacillati; Bacillota; Bacilli; Caryophanales; Staphylococcaceae.